GAACGCGAAGAACCUUACCUGGUCUUGACAUGUACGGAAUCCUCCAGAGACGGAGGAGUGCCUUCGGGAGCCGUAACACAGGUGCUGCAUGGCUGUCGUCAGCUCGUGUCGUGAGAUGUUGGGUUAAGUCCCGCAACGAGCGCAACCCUUGUCAUUAGUUGCCAUCAUUUAGUUGGGCACUCUAAUGAGACUGCCGGUGACAAGCCGGAGGAAGGUGGGGACGACGUCAAGUCCUCAUGGCCCUUAUGACCAGGGCUUCACACGUCAUACAAUGGUCGGUACAGAGGGUAGCCAAGCCGCGAGGUGGAGCCAAUCUCACAAAACCGAUCGUAGUCCGGAUUGCACUCUGCAACUCGAGUGCAUGAAGUCGGAAUCGCUAGUAAUCGCAGGUCAGCAUACUGCGGUGAAUACGUUCCCGGGUCUUGUACACACC
This 433-nucleotide ribosomal RNA is filed under the name uncultured bacterium. RNAcentral's name for it is "bacterial SSU rRNA". It matches the Rfam family "Bacterial small subunit ribosomal RNA", at positions 957 to 1391 of the family's 1533-position model. The record is from RNAcentral.